Molecule: long non-coding RNA, 3764 nt
Organism: Passer montanus (Eurasian tree sparrow)
Lineage: Eukaryota; Metazoa; Chordata; Aves; Passeriformes; Passeridae
Exons: 3
Source: RefSeq, a predicted model, not a curated record
AAAAAAAAAAUCCAACAAAAAAGGUGCCAUACAUAUAUAGCAGAAUUUUAGUAAAUUAUUCAAAACAGAAGAAAAAUCUAUGAGAAAAGAAGCAGAUGUAUGUGAUAUUACCAAUUACAAUCUUCUUCUGGCAUCCAAAAUCAUACUAUCUAUAUUCCUUUCUACCCUUAUGUGGAAAAAAUGCAUUUGAAAAGAGUUAUCUAUUGACAAUAAUGCAUCCUAACACUUUAACAUAGCUGAAAAGUCUGAUGACUACCACAUGCCUCUGCACAACCACAGUCCAGAUCUCAGAUUUUACCCAGAAGUAUUCAAGGCCAUUUGGGUGUACAGACAGGCUAAUCUGCACAUGCAUCCUCCUACUGCCAUAUAAAAUGCAGGCUGCACUAAGUGCCAAAAAUGGGGGCUUAACCCAUAAGUUUUCUCAGAAUAUGCCUAACACAAACUGAUAGAAUUGGGUUUCUUGCAAAAAGCAAUUAUGGCUCCCAUUUUUCUCUUAAAAACAGGGCCCUCCCUUAUUAUGUUAUAGCCUAGAGAUUAAGUUACAUUCAUCCAAAAAGUAAGAGACUGAGUUUGAGUUCCUUCUUUUGCUAGAGGCAAUGAAAAUUUGCAUUACUGAAGUUAGACUAAAAAAAACCAUUACUUUGCAAAAGGCAUGGUCAUUUAUUAAACCACUCUAACUUGAUCAAAUUCGCCCCAUACUCAAUGUCCAUCAAUGAAAUUGCACCAGCAUGCUAACCAGUGUACUUAACAUAAUGUGAAGGUGUUUUACUGCUUUCUGCACAAUAUAAUUUCUCAUUCUGUCCUGACAUGGAGCUUUGAGUAAAUAGUCAGCAUUUUGGAAGAUGAGGAUAGAAAAUUAGAAUCUAUGAAAAAAUGUCAGGAAGACUCUAUUCACCUAUAAAUAAUUUCAGAUAAUUUUACAUUUGUUAUGCUGUCCCUAAGUGCAAAAAUGCAAAACUGUGUGCUCACCUGUUCUAUCAAACUAAUUUUUUAAAUGGGUAAAGAGAAGAAAAUAAAAAGAAAUAAAAUAAAAUUCAUUUUAUUGAAUAAAUCAAUAAAAUGUAUCCAAGACAGAAUAUAGUUUCAGCCAAACAUCAUUAAUCGUCCUUAAAUGCAUGCUGGAUGUAGCAGCAAUGUCUUAGCUGAUUUCUGAUGAACCAAGACUAAGAAGACACCUAGCCAGUCACCACUAGUGGCCAAAACCAAAAGCAGAGAAGAAAAUAGAGAUAACAUCAAGCAAGAAAAGAAUGAGAUGAAGAUACCAGCAGGCCCUGGACAGGAGGGAAGCACUGGAUCUCAGCAGUUCAUGCAGGCUGGUAAUGUGAAUGAAGUGCACUAUCUACAGGCAACAUCUGUACCUUCUUUCAAGCUUAUUUUUUAUAACAACUACCAUUUUCACGUGCAAGCAAGGAAGAAGACAAAUAUCCAUCAUGAAGAAUGCAAAGCACUCCCUCACAAGACCAAAGCAACAGUGCAUGAAAUUGAACUCAAAAAGAGCCUCCAUUCUGUGUGACUUCUUGGCUGACACAAUUCAGAUAUUUAUAGCUUUACGAAUAUGCCACUGGAAGAGAACUUGAAGCUUUUUCUAGCUAGGAAGGAUUAAUGAACAUGUGCACCUGGUAAUUACAGCACUCCAUCUUUCUCAAAGCCCUCACAUUGCCUCAAUGGCAGAAACUGUAAUGAAAAACCAUUGAAAAUACCAAUCUGCAAUUCCAUAAGUCAUUUAAUUAUUAAAAUAUAUAAUCUCUUUUCAUACUUUCUAUGAACUAUGCUAACAGUGUUAUGCAAGAAAUCAUACUUUCUGCUUCAUAUUAUUACCUGGAACACCUAAUUUAAAAUGAAAAAUUCAUCUGAUAUCAGCUUGGGAUUUAACUUACUCUAACCUCAGAUUGGAAAAUGCAUGGUAAUAACUGUCAAAUACUUCUGCAAGAAAGAGCAGAAAAAAACCCAACAGCUUAAGGUAAUGCAUGCAAUUCUAAGAAGACAAAAAUUACACACUAAAUUUCAAUAAACAAAAGGUUUAUUUGAAAAGAAAUGUUUAAAGAUUGGGGGAAACAAGCAUUCUGUACUUUUUUCCUAAAGAAGGCUUUCAGAGUUAUUGUCAGGUGGAAACUUUCUAAGGAGUAAUGCAUGCUGCCACAAACAUUUGUCUAAUGUACAUACCACGAGAAAUCUACAGUAGCUGGGGCACUGUUUGUUUGUUAAAACACUUCCUGAAUAAACUUGAAAAACACUGUGCACUUCAUGCUCUAUUUUGAGAUUAAUAUUACUGAAAAAACUUGGAAAAACAAAAGCCACUUUAUCAUCAAAGUAGUAAAACCCAAACAGUCUAUGAGCAUCAAUAUUCAAAUUUUCUCAUGUUAUUCUGACAUUUGAUACAACAUUAACCUGAAACAGCCAGAUACAUGAAGGGAUGAAGCAGACCACCCAAAAGUAAAAACAUCCUUACUAAUACAGAUUAUUUUAAGCAGAGAGCCUCAACUGCUUUACAAGUGAAAUUAAAUUUUAAUAUACAUUUUAGUGAAAUCCUUAGCUAUUACAACAUUUGAAUGAAAGCCAAUUAUAACCUAAAUGCACAGACAUCUAUAUGGCUCUAAAAGUAGUCUUUUAAAAGAUAUUUAAGGACAGUAUGAGAUCUGAACAUUAAAAAUGGCCUUUUAUUGUUAAAACAUACUGUUCUUUGGUGGAUUAUAGAAAAAUAAAAGGUUCCAGUAGAGAUAAGUGUGCGUGAAAUGCUCUCUCAAGAGUAUUCAACCAAACUGACUGCAAUAAGGGGACUUCAAAAAGCAGCAAGAGAAGAGAUGUUCAAAGCACCUUGCAGCUUUGGGCUACUGGCCUCUACUGCUGUUUUUAAUACAGUUAGGUUUAACUUGGGAGCGGAUAAAUAAUUGACAGAGGUAUUUCCAGAAAGCUUUGAUCACCGCACCGUUUGUCACAAGCUCCGAAGUAGUCACGGCGAUAACACUUAAUCUGGGGCUUCUUAUUUCAAGUACAAAAGCAUCCCCUCCCACCUACAGCUCGCAGACUCCUGCAUCAGAGCAGGAGACUUAAGAUGCAGCCUGCACAGCACUAACACGCCACGCUCUCCACCGGCAGAUUCCUUCUCCAGCACGCCUAAUUUCGCAUCCUUACCUUUAAAAGGCUGCCCAGAACCUGCAAAGUUCCCCCAGACGGUUUUAGUUCAGAGCAUCCAGCAGUGCAUCCGCACAAAGCUUUGCCAUUGCGAGUGUGAAGAGAGAGAGCUGCUGGGAUGCUGAAUGGCACAUCAGCCAACUUUGUGUGUAUCCGCGGCUCCCUGAAAAAGCUGGACCGAAAUUCCCCUCGCCUGCGGAUUGGAUUCAACAGUACACAGUAACUGUGAGAAAGAGCAAGGAUUUAAAAAGGGAAAAGGGACAAGCGGGAGGGGGAAGGGGGGGGCAUGUCUGAAGAGAAAAAAAUCCUGUCCUGGAUCCUGGCUGUGAUAAAUCUUGGCUGUGAAAUACAAGCUGCUCUUCAUAGUCCCACAAAUACUUGCAAAACUACUCUUCUGUAAUGUUUUCAUUGCACUGUGUACCAUAGGAUGCCAUCAGUCUAACAGCUGAUAUUUCAAUAAAGAAUGUGUUAAUAAUUUGCCUAACUAACAUAUGAGGGGAUAACACAAGCAUUCCAGCCUUCAUGCUAAAAUCAUAAAAAAGAAAGUGCAAUAUGUGAAUAAAACUAAUUUUAGAUAUACUUAGACUAUAAUUUUCCUGAUUUUCUGCAGAUUAUUUGUGUACUCAUUUAGA